UACGUAGGUGGCAAGCGUUGUCCGGAUUUACUGGGCGUAAAGAGCGCGCAGGCGGUCGUUCAAGUCGCGUGUGAAAGCCCCCGGCUCAACUGGGGAGGGUCACGCGAUACUGAUCGACUCGAAGGCAGGAGAGGGUAGUGGAAUUCCCGGUGUAGUGGUGAAAUGCGUAGAUAUCCGGAAGAACACCUGAGGCGAAGGCGGCUUGCUGGGCCUGAUCUGACGCUGAGGCGCGAAAGCGUGGGGAGCAAACAGG
RNAcentral lists this ribosomal RNA (253 nucleotides) under uncultured bacterium. RNAcentral's name for it is "partial 16S ribosomal RNA". It matches the Rfam family "Bacterial small subunit ribosomal RNA", at positions 524 to 776 of the family's 1533-position model. The record is from RNAcentral.